UCCCCUCAUGUGAAAUCCGACGCGGGAUCCGUUUACAUCCAUUCGGGUCGACUUUAUUACAUACCAUAGAUAAACAAUCUUCAUCUUCUCUGAUACGGCAACAAGGUCGAUUAGGGUUUUUGAUCAGCCGCUCUCCCCUCGGUUCCUUUUCUACCUUUGUUCAAUCUAGAAUUUUGAUAAUUGUCUCUCGCUCUUAUGAUCGUAUCCACCUACAACUUGAAAAUCAAUCCGAUUGUAUGGUAUCAACAUUACUUCGAACCCUAAUUCGCAUCACUGAAAGAUCUUCAAUAACAAGAUGUCUUUUGAACCCACUUGCUCACAUAAAUCUUUAGUAUUACGUGUGCAUUUGAUGAAUCUUGGAAGACUUGGGAGCUCGGGGUGGAAUUAUUUCCGACGUUGGACUUCUUUGAGACACAAAUGUCAUCCACACCAAGGCGUGGUAAAAGCGAAAAGGAAGAAAGAUCGGUAAGGCUCAUGAUCAGAUAACAAAUCAACCGCGACAACGAAGGCUGCAUCCGAAUUUUUCCCCACAACUUCAGCACGUCAUAAAAGAGGUCAUAUCGCAGUGUGGUGACGUCGAAGUGAGCAACUAUAGUAGAGUCGGUGGUCUCAGAUGUUGGCGAGACAGGGGUUUAGGUCUGAAUUGCACUGAUGGUUGCUAAGGUGUGGAUGAUGCCGACGACUAGGGUUGUUGUCGAGUGUAGAUGGUGGUUGAUUGGAAUUUAGGCUUUUGCGCUAACUCUCCAUUGGAGUAGUCGAGAAUCGUCAUCAAUCAACAAACACCAGGUGAAAGCCAUUAAGCGGCUAUGAUGGGAUUUCUUGCUUUUUUUUAUAAGAAAGGCGAUUCUAACCUUUGAAUGAUUACCUUUGGAUGGUGCGUUCAAUGGUCAUGUACUUGACUAUUGUUUUGCAAGGCUACCAUGGUUGUUGGGCUGGAUUUUGCACAUGAGCAUUUUUAUGUUUCUUGAGGAAUCGUCCUAUCUAGCCAUGAUGGAUUAUGUUUGAUAUCAAUGUCUAUGAUGAUUUGUAUGAGUUCAAAGAAACAUGAAUUUUUAUGUCUAUUGGUGCGACAACUAAGAUAUGAUCUACAUAUAUAAUGCUUACUUACACAAGCUGGUAACAUCUUUUCUAUCUCAUCCACUUGCAAGAUACAAGGUGAAAGGAACAGAGGAGAUGGCCACACCUUCUCAGAAAAUUAGAUGAAAAUCUAUAUAGCCCUGAAAAUUGUUGGUACCUUUGUUCCUUUUAUGUUCAUCUUCUCCGCGCUUUGCGAGGCGUGUUUUCUGCCAGUACUGGAUCGGUUCGUUACUUUAUCGGUACGAUGCCGGCAUUCAGUAUAGCAACUGACCAUCAGUUGAAAACCAUAAAAAUGCAUGUCGAUACUGGGUUUUUAACAGCUUUGGUUUGGAGAAACAGAAGGCUCUUCAUCUUGGAAUGCUGCCAUAGCCCAUGUCUUGACAGUGAUGGUUCGGGUCGGAUCAUGGAUAAACUUUGUCAACGACAUUCAACUACGGUCAAUCACAGUCAAGAGUGGUCCAUCUGAAGGUUGUUAUAGUUAAUAUCAUCCUAGGCACUCAUGUAUGGGCAGAAGACCUAGCAGUAUGUUGAGUGGUGGAGGUUGCGACUAAUUUUGUUGGUGAUCAUUCACGUUACAACCUUCUGAAUAGGAAAUCAUUUUUUUUUGUGUUAUUUUUCUUGAUUCGUAAUCCAUCAUCCUCAUCUAUGCUUCUGUUUUGGGUUGCGACUGGACCUGAUAACCAAUUGGUUGCUUUAUGUGGUUUUAUUCGCUGAUGGUUUGCCCAGAGCCGAAUUUCGAAGGAGUCGUUUCUUUGUCUGUUUUGGAAUGUGGAACAUCGGACUAGCGGAGUCAAACUACAAGGUUUUGACUACAUUAACGACUCAAAAGUAUUUGUUGUAAAUUUACCCUUGAGUAUGCUUAAAAGAAUUUGUGGUAUGGUGUCAAAAUGGGUAUUAGUGAGUCAAAACAACAGGCCGGGUGGAGUCAACCGGCAAACACCUUCUGUAUCUUUUUUUUUUUUUUUUAAUUUGUAACUAAAUUUGUGU
RNAcentral lists this long non-coding RNA (2064 nucleotides) under Helianthus annuus (common sunflower). Its description in RNAcentral is "hypothetical non coding rna". The record is from RNAcentral. Lineage: Eukaryota; Viridiplantae; Streptophyta; Magnoliopsida; Asterales; Asteraceae.